This 640-nucleotide ribosomal RNA is filed under the name Clostridioides difficile. Its description in RNAcentral is "bacterial LSU rRNA". It matches the Rfam family "Bacterial large subunit ribosomal RNA", at positions 1047 to 1692 of the family's 2925-position model. Lineage: Bacteria; Bacillati; Bacillota; Clostridia; Peptostreptococcales; Peptostreptococcaceae. The record is from RNAcentral.
CCUAAAUGUAAGUUAAGUGGUAAAGGAUGUGGGAUUGCACAGACAACCAGGAUGUUGGCUUAGAAGCAGCCACUCAUUCAAAGAGUGCGUAAUAGCUCACUGGUCGAGUGAUCCUGCGCCGAAGAUUUCCGGGGCUAAAACUUACUACCGAAGCUACGGCAUCAGUAAUGAUGGGUAGGGGAGCUUCCCAUACGGGUUGAAGCAUGACCGUAAGGACAUGUGGACAGUAUGGGAGUGAGAAUGUUGGCAUGAGUAGCGAGAUGUGGGUGAGAAUCCCACAGGCCGUAAACCCAAGGUUUCCAGGGGAAGGUUCGUCCGCCCUGGGUUAGUCGGGACCUAAGCUGAGGCCGAAAGGCGUAGGUGAUGGACAACAGGUUGAUAUUCCUGUACUACCGAUAACCGUUUGAGAGAAGGGAUGACACAGUAGGAUAAGCUAAGCACACUGUUGGUUAUGUGUGCCCAAGCAUUGAGGCAGUCAAAGUAGGCAAAUCCGCUUUGAUAAUGCUGGGAUGUGAUGGGGAGCGAAAUUUAGUAGCGAAGUAGCUGAUUUCACACUGUCAAGAAAAGUCUCUAUCGAGGUUAAAGGUACCCGUACCGCAAACCGACACAGGUGGGUGAGGAGAGUAUCCUAAGGCCAGCG